RNAcentral lists this small RNA (56 nucleotides) under Arabidopsis thaliana (thale cress). RNAcentral's name for it is "ATSL198100". Lineage: Eukaryota; Viridiplantae; Streptophyta; Magnoliopsida; Brassicales; Brassicaceae. The record is from RNAcentral.
AAAUACACAUACGGACUUCGGCUACACCAUCAAAGCUUGGAGAAGCAAUAAGAAAC